This 424-nucleotide ribosomal RNA is filed under the name uncultured bacterium. Its description in RNAcentral is "bacterial SSU rRNA". It matches the Rfam family "Bacterial small subunit ribosomal RNA", at positions 355 to 774 of the family's 1533-position model. The record is from RNAcentral.
UCGAGAAUCUUCGGCAAUGGGCGAAAGCCUGACCGAGCGACGCCGCGUGCGGGAUGAAGGCCUUCGGGUUGUAAACCGCUGUCGGAGGGGAUGAAAUGCCGAUGGGUACUCCCAACGGCUUGACUGAUCCUCGGAGGAAGGGUGGGCUAAGUUCGUGCCAGCAGCCGCGGUAAGACGUACCACCCAAACGUUAUUCGGAAUCACUGGGCUUAAAGAGUCCGUAGGCGGCUCGGUAAGUUGGAUGUGAAAUACCUCGGCUCAACCGAGGAACUGCAUUCAAAACUACCGAGCUUGAGAGAGACAGAGGUAAGCGGAACUGAUGGUGGAGCGGUGAAAUGCGUUGAUAUCAUCAGGAACACCGGUGGCGAAAGCGGCUUACUGGGUCUCUUCUGACGCUGAGGGACGAAAGCUAGGGGAGCGAACG